AGUGCUUGUGUUCCUGAGUGUAGGUUCUGAGCUAUUAGGUUACUACAGACUACAGAGAUACAACGUGAAAUCUCCACCUCUUUAUGCCUGGGGAGGAAUUGCUGCCUAAGGAUGCCAGUGGAAACAUUAUUUUUGAUACUGUGGAUCUUCGUGACACAUGGGAGGCCCUGGAGAAGUGCAAAGAAGCAGGUUUAACCAAGUCCAUCGGGGUGUCCAAUUUCAAUCACAAACUGCUGGAACUCAUCCUCAACAAGCCAGGGCUCAAGUACAAGCCCACCUGCAACCAGGUGAGCCGUUAGCCCACCGGGGCCUUCUCUGACUUUCUGCUCUUUACACACUUCCUGCUUAAUCAUGCUUCCAAGUUUCUGGCUUUAUAUCACCUGUGUAGAUGACAGCUACUUUCAUAGAAAUAGAAAAUACUAGAGAAAAACAGUUUGAGUGGAGUAGAAGAGCCUGACUUCAGUUCUUUGGGGAUGGGUGUGAAGUUCCUAUGAGACAGCCAAGCGGAGGCAGAGUUGGGAGGUGGUCGCUUUGGUCUGGAGCUCAGGGGGUGGAGGUGGAGACACAGUGUUUGAAAUUAUUGCUGUAUAGAUGGUAACAACUCACAGACAAGGAUUAGCUCUCCUAGGGAAAGUUCAUGGAAUGAAAAGGAACAGGCAGGAAAGUUCACAGGAGAGGGUGAGGCAGAGAGGCACUGGCAAGGAGAUUGAACAGGAGCUGCCAGACAGGUGGAGACAGCCAGGAGACUGUGGUGUCGGGAGCCAAAGAAAGAGCAUUGAAGUGGCUUGAGUCAGACAUAGGUAGGUCCUACUGUGAGCAAACACUCCAAUAGGGAAAGAUAAAAGUGGCUGGAUUUAGUGGCAUGGAGGUUAUGGGAAGCCAUGCAGGGCCUGAUCCAGAGUGGUAAGCACUAAAGCCAGAUCAGAGGAAAGGAGUGAGAAAGAGGAGGUGUAUAAAUCGUAAUCAAAACAUAUGAUUUUAAAAGAAACAUCCAAUAUAGCCAAAUAUCAAACAUGAUUUAUGACAUUGUUAAGUUUAAAGCUUUGUGUAGACCAUUUUGAUAAUUAUACAAAAAGCAGUUCAAAAAUGUAUACUCUGUCUUAGUUUUAUAUUUCUAGGGAUAUUUGUA
RNAcentral lists this long non-coding RNA (1129 nucleotides) under Homo sapiens (human). Its description in RNAcentral is "non-protein coding LINC02561:20". Lineage: Eukaryota; Metazoa; Chordata; Mammalia; Primates; Hominidae. The record is from RNAcentral.